UCUAAACCUUUCUUGCGACGUUAGUGAGCGUUUUCGGUGGAUACGACUACAAUAUCCCAAUUUGUGGUCGUUACAGAUGAUUGAGUGAUGUAAUUCGAACGAUUAUACUCGAAAAAUGAGGAAGUUGUUUAUGAAUCUGUUUUUAUCCUUCUGCGCAUCUAGAAGUCAUUUAUGCGUCAAUUUUUACGUUUACUUGAAAAGCUGUCGUGCAUUCCCUAUGAAAUUAUUUGUAUAGUUACAAAAAGCGUUUGACACAGGAUCCGUCCCACUUUAUUUUUAUUUAUUUCAAUUAGUUCAAUUAUUAGUUAAUAACUUGUAAUUAGAAAAUGCUUUCGCAAACUGAGUGAUAUACAAUUAGUGUGCGAAUG
This 368-nucleotide ribosomal RNA is filed under the name Ribes macrostachyum. The record is from RNAcentral. Lineage: Eukaryota; Viridiplantae; Streptophyta; Magnoliopsida; Saxifragales; Grossulariaceae.